RNAcentral lists this transfer RNA (73 nucleotides) under bacterium. RNAcentral's name for it is "tRNA-Ala". It matches the Rfam family "tRNA". Rfam says of the family: Transfer RNA (tRNA) molecules are approximately 80 nucleotides in length. RNAcentral also lists the same sequence under 1 other name. The record is from RNAcentral.
GGGCCUGUAGCUCAGUUGGUAGAGCAGCGCUUUUGCAAAGCGAAGGUCGCAGGUUCAAAUCCUGUCAGGUCCA